CUUAUGUCAACUAUUAUAGGACAUGGGGGAAAAAAUAAAAAAUCUGUUUAAUGUCAAUACAUCUUCAAUUCAAGCAAUUACUACUUAUGAAAGUCUAGUAAAUUUAUAUCCAUUACAUAGAAACGAAUAACAAAUAAAAAAUAAAAAACAAGAAAAAAAAAUCAGAUUUCAAUCAAAAUCAAUUCCCGCAUUCUGAUUGGGAAGAUAAUCAGCCCACAUUAAAUCAGCAAUCGCAUUCCUCUUAUUAGACCACACUUCCUGAUUUGUGAAAGAUAUGUGAGCAUUUGGAGUUUCAUCUUCCGGUACAUCAAUAUGCGUAGGGUUAACCUCAUCAUCACUACUAUAUAAGUCGUCCUCCUCACAAACAUCAACGUCAUCAAUCUUUAAGAAGUUGUGGAUGACAGAAUAGGCAAGGACUAUCUUUCUUGUGCGUCAAUGUCGUGAUAGGGUGGAUGUCUCAAAUAUGCAAAUCUUUUUUUCAGCAAACCAAUUGUACGCUCAAUAACAUUGUGUAGAGAUGAAUAUCGAAAAUUGAACAAUUCCUUACUACUUUCAGGACGUUGACCUUCAAUGUCUCUACGAUGAUAACGAGUCAUACAAUAUGGUGCAAGAAAACCCGAAACCGAUGGGAAGCCAGCGUCAACAAGGUAAUAAUUACAUAAGAAAGAGUCGUUCAUAAGAUGAUAGUUAGGUAAUUAUAACUUAUGUGUGGAAGAAAUGUUUUCAAAAUAGUGACACAACUUACCAAUAGGAAUUGUUAGCUUAUGUCCUUGGCGUAAUAUUGCACUCCGUAACAAUCGACCGUCAUGUGCAGAUCCCUCCCAACCGGCAAGCACGUACGUAAAUUUCAUAUCAAAUGUACAAGCUACGAAAACAUUUUGGGAAAUCACUUGCUUUCUAUUGCGAUAUUUACCUUGUUUCUCUAAAGGCACAUACGCAGCUAUAUGUGUACCAUCGAUUGCUCCUACGGCAUCCUUUAAAAAACAAUACUUUUCAAAAUGAAUGUAAAUAUUGAAGUUUUAAGAAAUGUGAUGAAAUAACUACAAACCACUAACCUAAAAAAAGGAGUACCAUGGUUGCACAUUUUCUUUUUCGUAUGGUGAGUUAUGAAGAGUGGCAUUAAUCACAACAUCUCUAUACAGUCCAAGACAAGUGUGUAAGACUCUGUGAAAGUAAAAGCUCACUGUUUGACCAGAGCGAAAGAAAGUAAAAUGUCUAGCGCGAUUACGUUGGUCAUGCCCGACUGUAUUCAGAAAAAUUGCGACUUGUUCCUCAAUUCAAACGUAUUUACCGUCAACCAAUCCAUAAGUUUGCAAACGAGCACAUAAUCUUUGAAAUGGACCUAUUUUCAUCCUAAGGAGAUCACGACAUAUUGUAUCACUCAUACUAAACAUUCGUGUAAGUGUUAUUUCUCUUUCAGAAUUCCAAUUUGUAUGAGGAGCUCUUGGAAGAUGUCGUGCAUGACGCCUAAGUUCGUUAUACAUCACAAUCGCUUGCAUGACCAUCGUCCAAAAUAUACCUAAAUGUUGUCGUCGGCAUCGACGUUGAUUCGUUGUUGUAGCCAUGUUAUAAACUACCACGUUAAAUAAAAAUUAAUAAAAAUUUGUUUAGAAAGAAUAACAUAAAAGCAUUAUAGAAUAAAAAGUUAACUGUAGCUACAUCAUAAUAGAAAUUCAUUGCAUGACCUUCCAAGCAUAAUGUCAACUGGUUAUAUUAGAAUUCUUAAAAUCAUUUUUUUCAGUUUCAUGCUUCCCUAACUCAUUCGCACCACAGUAAUCCCCCAAUUAAUAGAAUCAAGAACAUAAACCCAAGGACAUAAAUUGUUAAGCUACUUCUAAAUCUUCAACUAUCUCUCUAAUCAAAGAUUAAUAUUUGGUACAAUAAACUCUAAGCAAUAAAAUAACUGUCUUCAAUACAGUGAGAUGAUUAUAAACUAGAAAUGAUACAAUCUGCCUUAAAAUAUGUCAACGUCGUUAAAGAGUGACACGUUUAUUCACUUAAAUCUAGUCUUGAACAUGCCCUCACUCACACAAAAUGAAUUCAUUUUUUGUCAAAAGCCUCGUAUGUGCACAAGUUCAAUAAAUAGUGAUAGCAAAACUUGAUCCCAAGGAAUUUGCUUACUCCAAUACCAUGAUGAACCACUUCAUUUAAAAAUCAACCAUCACAGCACAAAAAGAUACUUUCAUACUAGAUAUAAAGGUAGACUGCUAAUUAGUUAUCAUCUCCUUUAAAGAAAAUUCCACAUUCAAAACACAAAUGAAUACUUAUCAAAUAUUGAGUAGUUGUGAAAAUCUGAUAGUGGACUAAAUCUCCACUUAGGAGUCUGUGCACUUCAAGAAUCAAAUUCACUAGGGACCAACAAUAGUUUAUUCACCAUACUGGGAGUAAGAUAGAGUGAAGUUUUGAAAUUAAGCAGCGGAUAGAAAUCUUUCCCAGAUAGACAAUAUUAAGGCUCACUGCAAUAGAGAAGAGAAUACUGAGAAUGAGGAAUUUUGGGGAAAUUUUCUGUAAUAUAGAUUCAAAAUGAAAUAAGUACUGUAAAUGAGAACUUAAUGGAAAUUACGAUUCUCCAUUCCCCUAAUUCUUACUUGAUUUCUUUCACAUCCCCUCCCCUCUCCUUACAUGUUUUAUUUAUACCCUUCCCCCAAGUAACUCUAACAAACUAACUAAUAGUCCCUAACAAUUUUACUGACUCAGCAUCCUUCUAGAGACUCCUAUUGAGCCCUGCUGUCAAGUUGUUGGCUUUCCCCACCAUGUGCUUGCUUGGCCUUCUUACAUCUUGUAUAUGUACCAUCGAAUUUCCUAUGCUCAAUCCAAUAAUUGAAAUCAAUGACACACGACCACCAAUAACAAAAGCAACACCGAAAAAUAAUACCAACCCGGACCACCGGCUUCCUAAUGAUUGAUGAACAAGGCUAGGCGAUCCAAUUUAUAGACAAUUAGAGGGGAUAUAAACGGCUAGAUAAACUUACCGUAUUGAUCUGAACGGUCAAAUUCGCGGUACAAUCCUUGUGGAAAUCGAAAACUUCAUAAGUCGGUGAGUUUUAGGAGGCGGUGAUUGUCAAAGUCAUCGAGAAAAUACCAUAAACCCAGAUUCUUGGAAUGAUUACCCAGAUCUGGAAGCAGAGAGUCGUCGAGUUCUUCCUCCCGGCUCGGUUGAAUUGAUGAGAGAGAGGGUAGUGAUUUGUAAGUGGGUAGAGAGAAGAGAGAGAGAUAUUUUAACGUAG
RNAcentral lists this long non-coding RNA (3227 nucleotides) under Olea europaea subsp. europaea. Lineage: Eukaryota; Viridiplantae; Streptophyta; Magnoliopsida; Lamiales; Oleaceae. The record is from RNAcentral.